GAGACAGGUUUGAGAGUUUUCUCUUGCCUUCUUGCCCAUUAAGCAGCUUUAUUGCUGUUUUUCUUUUCUCAAAAGCUGGUGCCAUGGCAUUGGCCUCUAUGUGAAUUGGACACCAAGCCCAUUGAUCGCUUGGUAACAAUACCAUGUUCCUAGAUGGGAGGACUUAAUAUUAUUAGGAUACCAAUUCCCCCCAAAUGAACACAAAUAUUAGAUUUUUCUCCUUGACUCUUGACAGUGAAAGCUUGCGUAUGAACAAUUAAAGACUCCCACUGAGGAUUCUGAAUCUGAAACUCAUACUGCAAAGAAUCAGGGGAUACUUUAGAAUUCACUCUAGUUAUGGUGAUGGUGAUGGUGGAGAUGCCAGAGGAGGGGAUGGAGGGGAAGUGGCGGGAGGUGCUGGUGUUAUGGGGGUGGUGGUGGAGGAGCAGGUGGUGGAGGUGAUGGUAGGAUGGCAGCACCCAGCACCCAGAGUCUAGUGUAGACAAUAGCAGCAGAAUCAGAACAGCCUCUUGGCAGCAAGCGUCCAGGGCAAUGUCUCCAGUGGCACCAUUUGGCUUGUUUUUGGCUCUCUGGCAUCCCUCUAUCCUGGCCUUUUGUCCAAGGGUUGCUUCUAAACACUACAAUCUCUUACUAAGACAUCCGUUAUCCUUCUAAGUCUCUUUGCUGCCUAUGUUUAAUAAAGUAAGUUUCUAUUGCUUACAACCAAGAACUCUGGGACAAUGAGUCUUCCAAUCUUGAGUAAAGGAAGUAUUUUGUAAGCAAGGCAGGAAACCAGAAAUAUUGUUUUAAAAGCAGAAGACUGACUAAUUUAACCACAAAACUUGAAACAACUCAAUAGGAAAAGUGAAAGCGCCAAGUUCUUAAGGGUCACAGCACAGAAGAAAGAGGAAGGCUGGUAAACAUAGAAUAAGAUGCUCAUUCUCACAAAUCUUCAGAUGGAAAAAAUGAAAUUCCAUUUUUCCCUUUAGGUUAGCACAAAAAUACAUAAAUGAUACAUAAUAUCCAAGGUGUGACUGGGUGGGAAAAUGGGGUCUCUUACAAAGCACUGGACAAUGCAAAGAGGUGACAUUUUCAGCUGAAUUGAAGGGUAUCUCCCAGCAUUCGAGGUGAGAGUUUUCUCUACUCAAAAAUGUUAUUUCUCAGUAUUUAUCUUAAUAGAAAUACUUGCACAAAAGCAUGAAAAUAUUAAUAGCUGACUUAUUUAUAGCAGCCCCAAAGUGUAGGCAAUCUAAAUAGUAUCAACAGGGGAUAAUAUUUACUUCCAAAAUAACCAAAAUAUGGAACAAAACAAAAUAUGGAAAACUGAGGAGGAAGUAAAAAGUGUUUAAUGGAACUAUAUUUACUGAUCUAAAAGGCUCCUUGGUUUGGUUUAUUCUUUUUUUUUUUUUUUUUGAGUUAGGAUCUCACUCUGGUGCCCAGGCUGGAGUGCAGUGCCAUGAUCUCGGCUCACUAUAAACUCUGCCUCCUGGGCUCAAGUGAUCCUCUCACCUCAGCCUCCCCAGUAGCUGGGACCACAGGCAUGUCCACCCAGCCAAGCUAAUUUUUGUAGAGAUGGGGUCUUGCUAUGUUACCCAGGCUGGUCUCAAACUCCUGGGCUCAAGCGAUCCUCCCACCUUGGCCUCCCAAAAUUCUGGGAUUACAGGUAUGCACCACCUCGCCCGGCUGGUUUAUUCCUUAGUGAAAAGGUGAUUGCAAAGCACUCUAUAUGGUAUGAUUCAAUUUCUCUUUUAAAUUUGUUUGAAUUGCAAGGAGGUGGGUACGUUCAAGUUAGACUUUAUAUACCUCUGUAACAAGCAAUAUUGUAAAACCAGCAUGUUUUGCUUUUCCAGUUUCUAAGCAAAACUAAAAGUAAAAAGGAAUUGGAGUCCAUGGGAUACACCUUUCAUGGUAAAUUAGUAGCAGUGUUUCUCGUUUGUCCUGAAUCCUUGUGAACCUGCUGGGGGUCCUAGCUAGUCUUGGUGUAGGCUGGACCUUGGGCUGUGCCCUAUGCCUUCCUGCUAGGGGAGUUGAAGAAGGACAGGAGGAGGCAUGAAACAUGCCUGGUUUCAUCCCAUGGCUUCAGGAAAAUCACUCCAGAGCCUAGAUCAAGUUAAUAGGAGAAACACUGCAAAGAGUAAUAUAGCUACCUAUAUUACGGACAGAUGAAAAGGUAUUUAUUUGACCCAGUAAGUACAAUCUACCAUGCCUGCGGCACAUCCUGAAGGAAUAUUACUGGGGGCCUGACUGCAUGACUGCUCUUUGAUUUAUGGAGCCAAAGUGAAUGAAAGGCAGGGUCAAUACAACUGCCUUUCGGCUCCACUUUCCAUUCCAUUUCAUAGAGCAGGUGAAAAGAUAUGCCUGCCUAUAACAGGACUGGGUGAAACUCAGGAACCUCCAAUGGAACAUUUGCAUGUCUGUGUCAGUGGGCAUUUCUGUCAUCCAAGAGGGGACUUCCAUCUGAGGUGGCUUUUGAGGCAGGAGCAUAGCUCCGUCAGGAGGAGGCCUGAGCUAAAUGCACAUUGUCCAUGCUGGGAGCUUUCUGGGCAGGGCUCAGGGGGACGGGUUGAGGGGGCUUGUCUAGGAGCUGGAUUUCUGAAACGUGAUACAUGGCUCCUGUUUCCAGUGGAUCAGCCUGCCUUUCAGAACCUACAGGAGACUGUACUUCCAAGAAACAAGUGCUUUCC
RNAcentral lists this long non-coding RNA (2663 nucleotides) under Homo sapiens (human). RNAcentral describes it as "HSALNT0357773". Lineage: Eukaryota; Metazoa; Chordata; Mammalia; Primates; Hominidae. The record is from RNAcentral.